RNAcentral lists this ribosomal RNA (447 nucleotides) under Leptopelis gramineus (Ethiopian burrowing tree frog). RNAcentral's name for it is "partial large subunit ribosomal RNA". It matches the Rfam family "Bacterial large subunit ribosomal RNA", at positions 1919 to 2534 of the family's 2925-position model. Lineage: Eukaryota; Metazoa; Chordata; Amphibia; Anura; Arthroleptidae. The record is from RNAcentral.
CAGUGUUAACGGCCGCGGUACCCUAACCGUGCGAAGGUAGCAUAAUCACUUGUUUCUUAAAUAGAGACUAGUAUCAACGGCAUCACGAAGACUAUACUGUCUCCCCCCUAAAAUCAAUGAAACUGAUCUCCUCGUGAAGAAGCGAGGAUAUAUAUAUAAGACGAGAAGACCCCAUGGAGCUUUAAACGAACUUCAAUUGUUCCUACCCAUAACAUACAAAUUGAACACCCCUGAUAGUUAGUUUUAGGUUGGGGUGACCGCGGAGUAAAACAAAACCUCCACAAUGAAUGAAAUAAAAUUCUUAUAAAAGAACCACAAUUCUAAUAAUCAAAAAUUUGACAUAAAUUGACCCAAACACUUGAUCAAUGAACCAAGUUACCCUGGGGAUAACAGCGCAAUCCAUUUUAAGAGCCCAUAUCGACAAAUGGGUUUACGACCUCGAUGUUG